RNAcentral lists this ribosomal RNA (425 nucleotides) under uncultured bacterium. RNAcentral describes it as "bacterial SSU rRNA". It matches the Rfam family "Bacterial small subunit ribosomal RNA", at positions 355 to 774 of the family's 1533-position model. The record is from RNAcentral.
UAACGAAUAUUGGACAAUGAGCGAAAGCUUGAUCCAGCGACGCCGCGUGCAGGAAGAAGUCCUUCGGGAUGUAAACUGCUGUCGGGGACCACCAAGCAAGGAAGGUUAAUACCCUUCUGCGUUGAGGAAUCCCAGAGGAAGCCACGGCUAACUUCGUGCCAGCAGCCGCGGUAAUACGAAGGUGGCGAGCGUUGUUCGGAAUCACUGGGCUUAAAGCGUGUGUAGGCGGAUUGUCAAGCGUCUUGUGAAAGCCCUCGGCUUAACCGGGGAAUUGCUUGACGAACUGAUAGUCUUGAGGCAGGUAGGGGCAACUGGAACUCUUGGUGGAGCGGUGGAAUGCGUAGAUAUCAAGAGGAACGCCAGAGGCGAAGGCGAGUUGCUGGGCCUGUCCUGACGCUGAGACACGAAAGCCAGGGGAGCGAACG